Long non-coding RNA from Nasonia vitripennis (jewel wasp), 2037 nucleotides. RefSeq lists it as uncharacterized. The transcript is spliced from 3 exons. The record is from RefSeq and is a predicted model, not a curated record. NCBI's taxonomy places the organism in Eukaryota, Metazoa, Arthropoda, Insecta, Hymenoptera, Pteromalidae.
UUUAUUUGAAAACUUAAAGUUAUUUUACAAAAAAAAGAAAUCACGCUUUAGCCACCACGGCUUAAAAGGUAGAACAACUUAAUAUGAAAUACAGGAGCAGCCACCUCGACUGGUCUCCUUGCAUUAACUGAGCUUUCCUCCGCACGCUUUUCCUCGUUUCACCCUCGCGUCCUUUUCCCUUUCCUACCCGAUUUUUCCAACAGGCCCAUCCCUUUGGGUCUGCGUCAGCGCCCUCUAUAUCGGUCAUCGACCUAUAGCAUCGCGUCCUUCCGCUUGGUUCCCGCCUCUUCCGGUCCUCUUCCGCACCCUUUGUCCCUCCCACACUACUCUUAGCCUUGCCGAUUUUUCGUUAGAUGGCCCUCUCUGUACCGUUUUCAAUUUUUCUACGCGUUAUUUAUAAUAUGUUUGUAAAAUUUAUAUUUUGUAAUAAUAUAUUCUGCCUGUAUAAUAUAUUCAUUAUAAUAUUCUGCCUGCUAUUUUUAACUAAUUUUGUAUAACAUUCAUUUUUUAAUUGAAAUCAAAUCGUAAAAUCUGCACGGAUAAAUAAUCAUUUUACGCCGUGGUCGCCAACUUUUUAUCUAACAUAAUAAAUCUAUGUAACUAUUAAACUAAAAACUAAUCAUAAAAUUUGUACGAGUAUUAUUUUAAAUUUUACUCCGCGAACACGUGCUCUUACUCUUGAACUAAAUAAAAUAUGCACAGCUGUAGCUUAGUAUUUUCAGCUGUCCAUAAUUUACAUGAAUUUAAAUCUUCUACAUUAUUUAAUAUAAAUAUUCUACUUCAAAAAUAAAAAUUUUAUCCACGGCUUCGUGUUCUACGGCGUAACAUAAGCAUAGUAAACAAAAUUUCUCCAGACAUUUCUGGGUUUUUCCCAGCUGCGCACAAAUUUUGUGGUAGGGCCGCUGCCCGCCGCACCGAUCCCAAUCGCUAUGCCCACGCUCGCUCUUAAUGGCCCGGACUGUCUAACUGCGCUGUCCGGACGCUCGCUUAUCUACGGCUAUGACGUAACAAUACUUACUUCUUACUGAACUAACUGUACAAGAUGACUACAACGUGUGAAUACUAAACAAUGUUCAAAAAUAACAUGCUGCAAUGUCCAGAAGAAAACGUUUAUAUUGUGGACAUUCAAGGGUUUCAAAGAAUUGCCGUGGAUACUUUUAGUUUUAAGGAAAUCAGUUUUCUUAACUUGAAAAAAACUGCUUUUCCAACUGUAUAUCUCUUUAAGUCACCAAUGCCUUGGGAAGAUCUAACAGAGGAAGAAAAAUGCAUGAUACACUGGCUAGAAAAAAGUUACCAUGGAAUCGAAUGGAAUUCUGGUGAUAUCGAUACCAUCGACUUAAGCAUGUUUUAGAAAUCUGUACGCAAGGUGUUCAAAAGCUAUUUAUCAAGGGGGAGCAGAAAGCACAGUGGAUAAAAAAUUAUUUACCAAAUGCUUUAAUCUCAAAUGUUGAAGAUCUCGGAUGUCCAUCACUUGAGAAUUUUAUAUUAUUAUAAAUUGCUAAUCGAGGAACGUGAUGUCCUCUAUUAUGCGUGGCGGGAUUUUGGGUUGGGAUGGACCUGCCUCUGUUUUGUGCAAUGAUGACGGUGCUACUUUCCCUCGAGAUGCCGUUGCUGCUGCCUUCGGUGGAGCAGGUGCAUUUUCCUUCCCCUUGCUGCGAUCCAGCCUCAGCAAGCCUCGCUUUGACGAAUGGGCAUGAUCCUUAUUAUCAUGAAGAGGCGCUUUUACAUCUGAAACAAAAUAAAUAUAAACAUAGUUAAUUUUAUGAUUUUAAUAUUACAAAAAAAAAUGAUUUAAAAAAAUAUUUAUUUAUAAUUUACCUGCAUUGAACAGCGAGGAAAUCGAAAGAGGAACUCUAACGUCUUUCUUGACUUCUGUAACCAAAAAGAAAUAACAAUAAAUUUUUUUUACAAAACUAAAAAAAUCAUACGUAUACUAUUUCAUGUGCUUAAGCGGUCGGCAAGUAUAAUUUUUUUUCGUCUGCUGUGCGGAUGUGAAAUGACACUUCCCGGCCACUGACACGUAAAAUUUAUAUUUAA